AGAAAUUAAAAUAUUCAAAAUCUGAACUUGUAAAGAAUAUUCCUACAUAUAAUGUUGCUGUCAAUCAAAGUUUAGUUAGGUAAAAUCAAUGAAGUAAAAGUUAACAAUGAGGUAUAUUAUGAAUAAUAAUGGUAGAUUAUAACUUUAAAUAGUUAGUCAUGCAUGAAUAAUAAGCCAGCAGCAGCUCAUUUGAGAGUGUAGAUAAAACCGGGAUUUAUUAAUUAAAUAAUAAAAAAUAUUGAAAAAAUAUUUUGUCUAUACGAAAUUCUUGGUAUCUUGCUGAGUAGUAAUAAUUCUAAUUGAUUAACUCUGAGAUAUAGAAAGAAUUAAUGCCUUUUCUUCUACUUUAGUUUGAUUUUUUUCAUGAGGACAAAGAGAUUUUGUGUCAAAAAUUGAUACAUUAUAUCUUUUCAGUCUAUCUUCUUUCUAAUGGUUUCAAGAUCCUGACAUUAAAGGGGCACUAGCUGUCAAAUUCAUGUUCAACAAUUUGACUCAAGUUCUCAUAUUUAGGUUUAUAACAAUGUACAACUUUUAUCCAAAUUAUAAAAAGUCUAAAAUAAACAAAUUACAGGGCAUGGGUUCGAUUAGGUGUAGCUUCGUUUGGUGUGUAUUUUAGUUUAGAUGCCAUCUAAUUAACUAUAGAGAUGACUCCGAUACAACAGACAGUCACAUAACUGGAUAUUAGCAUUAACAUAAAUACAAAGAGAUAUAUGGACCUCGUGCAAAUAGAUUUUUAAUGUCAGUUUGAUUGCAAUUCUAAGGUUGAAAAAAUAAGUUAAUCUUCAAUUUUACCUGUAUAAGAAUGAUUUUU
This 811-nucleotide long non-coding RNA is filed under the name Mytilus galloprovincialis (Mediterranean mussel). Lineage: Eukaryota; Metazoa; Mollusca; Bivalvia; Mytilida; Mytilidae. The record is from RNAcentral.